Molecule: transfer RNA, 83 nt
Filed under: Canis lupus familiaris (dog)
Lineage: Eukaryota; Metazoa; Chordata; Mammalia; Carnivora; Canidae
Also listed under: 1 other name
Rfam family: tRNA
About the family: Transfer RNA (tRNA) molecules are approximately 80 nucleotides in length. Their secondary structure includes four short double-helical elements and three loops (D, anti-codon, and T loops). Further hydrogen bonds mediate the characteristic L-shaped molecular structure. tRNAs have two regions of fundamental functional importance: the anti-codon, which is responsible for specific mRNA codon recognition, and the 3' end, to which the tRNAs corresponding amino acid is attached (by aminoacyl-tRNA synthetases). tRNAs cope with the degeneracy of the genetic code in two manners: having more than one tRNA (with a specific anti-codon) for a particular amino acid; and 'wobble' base-pairing, i.e. permitting non-standard base-pairing at the 3rd anti-codon position.
Source: Rfam by way of RNAcentral
GCCUGGGUGGCUCAGCCAUUAAGCAUCUGACUUCAGCUCAGGGUGUGAUCCUGGAGUCCUGGGAUAGAAUCCCACCUCAGGCU